UGGGGAAUAUUGCACAAUGGGCGCAAGCCUGAUGCAGCCAUGCCGCGUGUAUGAAGAAGGCCUUCGGGUUGUAAAGUACUUUCAGCGAGGAGGAAGGUGUUGUGGUUAAUAACCGCAGCAACUGACGUUACUCGCAGAAGAAGCACCGGCUAACUCCGUGCCAGCAGCCGCGGUAAUACGGAGGGUGCAAGCGUUAAUCGGAAUUACUGGGCGUAAAGCGCACGCAGGCGGUCUGUCAAGUCGGAUGUGAAAUCCCCGGGCUCAACCUGGGAACUGCAUCCGAAACUGGCAGGCUAGAGUCUUGUAGAGGGGGGUAGAAUUCCAGGUGUAGCGGUGAAAUGCGUAGAGAUCUGGAGGAAUACCGGUGGCGAAGGCGGCCCCCUGGACAAAGACUGACGCUCAGGUGCGAAAGCGUGGGGAGCAAACA
Molecule: ribosomal RNA, 427 nt
Filed under: uncultured bacterium
Lineage: Bacteria
Description: partial 16S ribosomal RNA
Rfam family: Bacterial small subunit ribosomal RNA
Source: RNAcentral